This 693-nucleotide ribosomal RNA is filed under the name uncultured bacterium. Its description in RNAcentral is "bacterial SSU rRNA". It matches the Rfam family "Bacterial small subunit ribosomal RNA", at positions 32 to 715 of the family's 1533-position model. The record is from RNAcentral.
AACGCUAGCUACAGGCUUAACACAUGCAAGUCGAGGGGCAGCAUGAACUUAGCUUGCUAAGUUUGAUGGCGACCGGCGCACGGGUGAGUAACACGUAUCCAACCUGCCGAUGACUCGGGGAUAGCCUUUCGAAAGAAAGAUUAAUACCCGAUGGCAUAGUUCUUCCGCAUGGUAGAACUAUUAAAGAAUUUCGGUCAUCGAUGGGGAUGCGUUCCAUUAGGUUGUUGGCGGGGUAACGGCCCACCAAGCCUUCGAUGGAUAGGGGUUCUGAGAGGAAGGUCCCCCACAUUGGAACUGAGACACGGUCCAAACUCCUACGGGAGGCAGCAGUGAGGAAUAUUGGUCAAUGGACGAGAGUCUGAACCAGCCAAGUAGCGUGAAGGAUGACUGCCCUAUGGGUUGUAAACUUCUUUUAUACGGGAAUAAAGUGAGGCACGUGUGCCUUUUUGUAUGUACCGUAUGAAUAAGGAUCGGCUAACUCCGUGCCAGCGGCCGCGGUAAUACGGAGGAUCCGAGCGUUAUCCGGAUUUAUUGGGUUUAAAGGGAGCGUAGGCGGACGCUUAAGUCAGUUGUGAAAGUUUGCGGCUCAACCGUAAAAUUGCAGUUGAUACUGGGUGUCUUGAGUACAGUAGAGGCAGGCGGAAUUCGUGGUGUAGCGGUGAAAUGCUUAGAUAUCACGAAGAACUCCGAUUG